Gossypium raimondii (Peruvian cotton) is the source of this 660-nucleotide long non-coding RNA. RefSeq lists it as uncharacterized. The transcript is spliced from 3 exons. The record is from RefSeq and is a predicted model, not a curated record. NCBI's taxonomy places the organism in Eukaryota, Viridiplantae, Streptophyta, Magnoliopsida, Malvales, Malvaceae.
AAAAAUAUAAAAAAAGGCAGAGCCUCCAUCCCUUUUGGCGUUCUGAGAUCCGGCGCCAACCUCGACGGCGAUUCGCCGUGCAGUCACCGCGGCCAAAGGCCGACGCGGCGCGAGGAGGUCCCCUAUUUCCGAGCUCUAAUAUGAACCCAAAUAUAUGGGUUUUUCGAUCCCUAAAAGCGAAGAUGAGAGACUCAACCCACCCUCUUUCCGAUUUAGGUCCGGCGACGGCGCAGGUGGGCAGAAAGCAGGUGGCUGAGGUGACCAGGGUCGAUGGCGCGGCGGUAAGGUGAUGAUGGGACUAGCGGCGCACCUGCAGCAGAGAUUAGGGUUUCAAAAAACUGAAACCCUAGUUUGACCAUUAGGUUUUUUUGAGGCUAUUGGGCUUUGGGCCGGGUAUUGUAAUUGGGCUUCAGGAUUGGGUUAAAAUUUUGUAAAUGGAUUUGGACCAUUUGGUUUGGAGGCCCGGGAAAAUUUGGGCUGUACACUAGCUUUAUGGAGCGAUACAAUGAGAAUGUUUAAUGACUCAUUGGAGUCGAAGGUCCAUGACUAACCAUGGCAUAAUUCUAGUGGAUGACAGGUUCGCCUUAUUGUAAAAAGAGAAGUGUAACACCCUUCGUCUGGCUUGGUCGUCGGACCUAAAUUACGAGAUGCUACAGUAGA